GUUGAACACAAUAGGAUUGCCAUAUUCAGUCCAGCUAGUUCUUUUAUAUAUAGAUCAUAACAAAUUUCAGCUUGGAAGGAACUCUUUGCCUCUGGGGGGAUAAAGGGACAAACUUUUUGAAGUGAGAGAUUAAGUUAGCAUACAGCUAACAUUUUGCUAGAAAUGUUAGAAGUGAGGUUGUGUCAGAAUAGGCCAGUAAGUUUCUGAUCUUGAAAGUAAUCAAUGAAGGUCUGGAGGAGGAGACUGAUUGGAAAUUUCAUUUUAUGCGAACAACACUGAAUUUUGACUGCUGCUAGUGAAUUGAUUGAUUGCUUAUAACUGGAGAUGUAUAUCAACUAAUUUGCCUGGUGGGAGUGAACAUUGGUUCUUUUGGUCCAUUUGCAGAAGGAACUGAAUGUUAUAAAGAAAAUUACUUUGUUAUUGGAGACCACUUUGCAAUGGCAUCAACUGAAACUAUCAUGUGUUAACAUUGGAGGCAGCGUUUGUUCACCUUUAUUUUUUAACACUAGCUUAUUGAACCUUUAUUGUUGUUUCUGCUGUUAGGUUUUCUUUUUAAUAUUUUAAAUUUCAAUACUGAUUACUUCUUAAUGCAUAUAUGUACCUUUAGGCUUUUA
This 614-nucleotide unclassified non-coding RNA is filed under the name Hevea brasiliensis (rubber tree). The record is from RNAcentral. Lineage: Eukaryota; Viridiplantae; Streptophyta; Magnoliopsida; Malpighiales; Euphorbiaceae.